UUGUAACUGCGGUUGUUGUGUGGGUGACGCUGGCGAACAACUUGAAGUGUGAUAAUUGUGCCGAUGACGAUGGUGAAGAUUGUUAAUGUAAUGACGACAGGAAUGGUUCUACGGUGUGUCGGAGCGGGAGGUUCAUGGUGAGCGGCGGACGUUUCGCCAUCCGGGUGUACUUUGUUGUAGCCUCUGAUGUAGUUGAUGGAUUCUUCCAUGUGUGAGGGUUUAUGAAGGCGUGUAGUAUAUGAAGGUUGAAGAUGAGUUUAUUAAUUAA
RNAcentral lists this long non-coding RNA (268 nucleotides) under Helianthus annuus (common sunflower). RNAcentral's name for it is "hypothetical non coding rna". The record is from RNAcentral. Lineage: Eukaryota; Viridiplantae; Streptophyta; Magnoliopsida; Asterales; Asteraceae.